Molecule: long non-coding RNA, 2409 nt
Filed under: Anas platyrhynchos platyrhynchos (common mallard)
Lineage: Eukaryota; Metazoa; Chordata; Aves; Anseriformes; Anatidae
Description: lncRNA (ENSAPLG00000023883.1)
Source: RNAcentral
CGCUGCUCCUGCCGGGGCUGCUGGGGGUGUCCGUCUGUCCUGACGGCACCCCCUGCCCCCCCAGUACGCCUGCUACGCCAUCGGCAAGGACGUGCAGGCGAUGAAGGCGGUGGUCGGGGAGGAGGCGCUGUCGGCCGACGAUUUGCUGUACCUGGAGUUCCUGCAGAAGUUCGAGAAGCAGUUCAUCACCCAGGGUACGGCUGCGUGGGAUGGCACAGGACGGGAUGGGGCAGAGCCCGGCGCUGCCCACCCCCUUGCACUGCCCUCCCUGCUUCUCCCCCAGGCCCCUACGAGAACCGGAGCAUCUUCGAGUCGCUGGACAUCGGCUGGCAGCUGCUGCGCAUCUUCCCCAAGCAGCUGCUGAAGCGCAUCCCCGAGCCCAUCCUGGCCGAGUAUUACCCCCGUGAGGCCAAGGCUGGGGGCCAGCAGGCGACCAGCACGGCGCUGUGAGCUGCUGCUGCCCAAAAACUUCCCGUUUCCAACCCAAACGAGAAGGAAAUUGCCAGAAACCUCCGUCCCGUGCGCAAUAAAGCAGUGUGAUCUCCAACCUAAGCUGUGCGCUCCUCCUUCCCAACCAGGCUCCGAGCUCGCCCUGCCCCGUUCCUCCCCAUGGCACUGCCCCAUGGCAUCCUGGCGCUGCUGUCCCACCUUGUGCCCCCCCCCCAGGAACGAGGGCCAGACCCUGCCCCCCGCUGCGGCUCCCCCCGGCCAGCCCCACGGGCUCCAGGGGCCCCCCCGGCCCGGCUCUGUGCUCGGCUGCAGAAACUGCCUGGGCGUCUCGCUAAACUACAGCUCCUUUUCUUUUUUUGGGAGGACCCAGGAGGUUUAAAGCCCCCGCAAAGGUGUUUUUGUUUCAUUUUUGCACCAAAAAGGCUCAGCCCCGAGGGAAAUGGGACUUGCAGCUGGGGCAGAGCGAGUUUCGGUUCCCACUCCCCUUCUGCAGCAGCGCGUCCCCCCGGCACCUUCCCGCUGCACAAAGCCCUUUGGCCGGGGGUCCCGCCAUGCCCCCCACCACCUCCCCCCCGAACCGGCACCCCCAGGGCUGCAGCAGCAGCAGGAAAAUCCCCGUGGGGAUGGGGGUGCUCGGCCCCGAGCUGCUGCUGCACGCCCAGGGGCAGCUGCUGAGCCUUGCAGCGGGGUUUCACUUCCCUGCGGCGAGCGGACGAGCGCCGGGGAGCCGGGAGCAGGCGGCCACGGGACCGGGGGGCUCCGGGGGGCUCCGGGGGGCACCGGCACUGCUGCUGCCAUGGAUUGGGCUGGGGAAAGCACCCAGCUGGCAGCCAUCGUGGAGUCAGAGGGCAGCGAGGAGGAGGAGGAGGAGGAGGAGAAGGACGAGGAGGAAGAUGAGGAGGAGGAGGAGGAGGAGGCAGCCAUGGUCCAGACCCUCUCCGAGGACGACGAAGCGAGAGCGUGGCUGGACGACUUCCAGCAGGCCUCACAGGCGCUGCUGGCCGAGCUCUCGGCGCUGGAGGCAGAGUGUGAGAUCCAGAGGACGUGUCGCCAACAAGCCGAGGCGUACGCGGCACAGGUAGGGACCCCCCCGCACCCCCCCCGCCCUCAUUUUUUUGGGGUGGUUUCAGGGAAUUUGGGCAGUAUUGUGGGCACAGCUCCUGCCCAAGCUGUGUCCCCGCCGUGCCCAAAGCCGGGCGCUGCCUGGUGGUGCCAUGGGGGGGGUCACGUCCCCCCGGGGGUGUCAGCAGCAGUUCCGUGCGCAAAAACUUCAAUUUUCGCCCCAGGAAUGGGGCUGGAAUUGGCAUUUUUGGUGUGCAUGGAGACAAAUGAGAAAAAGAGGCAAAUUUCCACCAUUUUCACUAAUUUUUCCUGCAAUGGGAGAAACUCUCUCCGUUCCGUGCCCCCUGCAGCCACGCACCUGGGGGGGGGGUUGGGAUUUCCCAGUGGGGUCAGGACCCUGCUGGUGCCCUCCCAGCCCUGGGGACCCCCGGGGGCAGCCCCCGGCAGGGCUCCAGCAGCGACCCCCCCGGCCCCCCCCCCCAGGUGCAGAAGGAGAACACGAAGCUGAAGCGGCUCAGCCUGGCCCUGCCGCCCGGCACCGGGGCCGGGGACGUGGCCGGGGAGGGGGACCCCAGCCCCGACCCUACCCAGGAGGAGCUCAAGGGUGAGUUUUUGCCCCUAUUUCCGCACGAAUUUCGGUGAAUUCUGCCCCCAGCUGCGCUCGCUCCCGCUGCCGUUCCCCCGUAGCGGUGGUCACUAAAUCAGCUAAUUAGCUAAUUAAUUAAUUAAUCCCAGCGGCUCUCCUGGCUCCGGGAAACGCUGGGACAGGGGAGAAAGGCGAAAUGAAAACGCCGCAGCCCCACUUCCCCCUGCCCUCUUCUCUUUUCCCCACGCUCACGAUUUCGGUUUUGUUUGUGGCCUGGGGGAGGAGGGGGCUGCUGGCCCCUUGGCCACCCC